Octopus sinensis (East Asian common octopus) is the source of this 160-nucleotide long non-coding RNA. RefSeq lists it as uncharacterized. The record is from RefSeq and is a predicted model, not a curated record. The transcript is spliced from 3 exons. Lineage: Eukaryota; Metazoa; Mollusca; Cephalopoda; Octopoda; Octopodidae.
GUGGCACAUAAAAAGUACCAUUUGAGUGUUGGGCCCCAUGGAGGCAGUGAUAAGUGACCAAAGCCCUUGGUGAUAUACUGUGCUCGUGUUGACCUAUCAAGACAAGUGAGACCGUAGUCAUGGUCAAUGGCACGUAAAAAGCACCCACUACACUCACGGA